Nothobranchius furzeri (turquoise killifish) is the source of this 2371-nucleotide non-coding RNA. The record is from the annotation of a RefSeq genome assembly. Lineage: Eukaryota; Metazoa; Chordata; Actinopteri; Cyprinodontiformes; Nothobranchiidae.
AAGACGCGUGGACCUGCUGAUCUCCUCUGCUGCAGCGACAGACUCUGCUGUGUACUACUGUGCUGUGAGGCCCACAGUGACAGGAAACAGUAAAAGUGUGUAGAAAACCUGCAGAGCAAAGACAACACAAUACUCCACAACAUCCACUAGUGGGACUCACACAGUGGGAACCCACUGGUUGUUGAGUUGUUGGACUGAUGACAAAGACAACAGACACAUGAAGCAGCAGAAACAAGCCAUGGGCUCCACCAACAAGAUCAUCCAGGAACAGAGUGGAGUUGUUGCAGAGGGAACAGGCAUCAGCUUGAGCUGUGAGUACGACGGUUCUAUCUACAGUAUCCAGUGGUACCGACACCAGCAGAAAUCCAGACCAGAGUUCCUGCUCUACAUCACAGAGGGAGGAUCCAUUCAUCCAAUUCGGUCUGAUUUCUCAGCUCGUAUAAACAAAACACAGAAACGUGUGGACCUGCUGAUCUCCUCUGCUGCAGCGACAGACUCUGCUGUGUACUACUGUGCUCUGCAGCCCACAGUGACAGGAAACAGUAAAAGUGUGUAGAAAACCUGCAGAGCAAAGACAACACAAUACUCCACAACAUCCACUAGAGGGACUCACACACUGGGAACCCACUGGUUGUUGAGUUGUUGGACUGAUAACAAAGACAACAGACACAUGGAGCAGCAGAAACAAGGUGGAGUUGCAAUAAAGCUGGUGGAGUUCAAGUGGUUCAACAUCUAUAAAUUCUGUUUUAUCCAAAUUCAGAAGCAGGAAAUGAUUUUACAACCAGCUUCUAACAGUGGAUAGGCAUUUUUCUAGUUUAAUCAAGUUGUAAGGGCUACCCAGAGAGAGAGGGACAGGCAGCCGAUUAACAAUAAAGGUUACAUCAAAUGGACAUAGGAGGCCACCCAGAGACAGCAGAUAGAUUGAGAACAGCAGUGGGCCCAGUACUGUCACGUUGAGAGGAUUGUUUGGACCCAAAAUGCAGAUACCCAGGAUGACACGAGGCAGGAGUUGAUAUAAAGAAAGUCCUUUUAUUGUAGGAUGAGUCCAAAAAUAAAAAUAAAUCCAAAAGGCAGGGAGCCAAAAUCCAAAAAUCAGGAAAUGAUCAGGACAUCCAAAAACACCAGAGGAACGGGCAGACUAACAGAAUAAAUCACGCUGACAAACAACAAUGAACCGACAAGAUAAUGAGAAACAGACAGGGCUUUAUAGACUGGGGCAUAAUGGGAGGCAGAUGAGCUGCAGGUGUGUGGGGAGAGAACCAGGUGAAGGCAAUAACUAAUCAGGGAGGAGGAGCAGGGGAGGACACCGGACCUGACUGGAGAAGAACACACACACACACACACACACACACACACACACACACACACACACACACACACACACACACACACACACACACACACACACACACACACACACACACACACACUAAGCUGGGGAAUGACACACACACAGAGCUGGGACAAAGAGGCUGGAGCUACAACUGGAGGGGCUGGGGAUGACCUGAAAGGCUACAAACAGAAGGCACAUAAAUAAGAUGCAGACAAAGGACACAUGAGGGCGCUAAGAGACACAAAUGGGGAAUCUAAAGAGGGAUGGAGGACAUCAGGAGACACAUGGGGAAAGACGCAGACACAGACCAUGACAAGUACAGACCCUUGAGGGACUCCAUGCUUCAGCACAAAGGUUUCAGACAUGUCCUUCUGAAUCUGACAUCAUGUGAUCUCCCAGACAGCUCUGAUUUCAGCCAUAAGUGUGUUUCUCGUUACUCCCAUAUAACAUUCUAGCCUGUCCAGUGGUCUGCUGUGUCAAAAGCAGCAUUUAGAUUCAGCAGCAACAAGACUGGUUUUUAACCACUGUCCACCUUAAACAACAAGUUCUUCACCAUUUUCACCAGUGUAGUGUUGUACAUAUCUUUAUACCUCAGCUAUGCAGCAAUGUGGUUCUCCUUCAAACUCAAAGGGAACACUGUUAGCAGGGUUUGAUGUGGUACACCUCUUUAUGACAGCGCCAGGGUAUGUCAGUAGUGGCAUAUACUGCAGGCAUCUUGCUUGGUUUAACACAAACUUUCCUCGGUUGAUCAGUUCAGAUAUAUUAUGAUGUGUGUAGAUUGUGACAAGAUAUCCCAUUGUUCUCACUGAGGCUUUCUCAUCAGCAUUACGCAAAGCAGCCAAUCCUUGAUGACAAGGGGGCCAUCCCUGUGCCACAGUGGCCGUGUUCGAGUUGAGCUGCGCCUCGCCUGGAAAACAGACGAGAGCAGACGGAAGCAGCAGGGGGAGUGGCUGAAAGCCGGCGUUUAAGUCGGACACAAUUUCCUGCAUGUGUAGCUCGCGGGUGACGAUGGCUGAAGAUAUCGCGUUAGCGUUCAUA